Molecule: ribosomal RNA, 289 nt
Filed under: uncultured bacterium
Lineage: Bacteria
Description: partial 16S ribosomal RNA
Rfam family: Bacterial small subunit ribosomal RNA
Source: RNAcentral
UCCUACGGGGCGCAGCAGUAGGGAAUCUUCCACAAUGGGCGAAAGCCUGAUGGAGCAACGCCGCGUGGGUGAAGAAGGUCUUCGGAUCGUAAAACCCUGUUGUUAGAGAAGAAAGUGCGUGAGAGUAACUGUCCACGUUUCGACGGUAUCUAACCAGAAAGCCACGGCUAACUACGUGCCAGCAGCCGCGGUAAUACGUAGGUGGCAAGCGUUAUCCGGAUUUAUUGGGCGUAAAGGGAACGCAGGCGGCCUUUUAAGUCUGAUGUGAAAGCCUUGGGCUUAACCGGCG